Molecule: small nucleolar RNA, 120 nt
Filed under: Dasypus novemcinctus (nine-banded armadillo)
Lineage: Eukaryota; Metazoa; Chordata; Mammalia; Cingulata; Dasypodidae
Description: Small nucleolar RNA SNORA31 (ENSDNOG00000030036.1)
Source: RNAcentral
AUGCAUCUUUUUGAUAGACCCGGAGAAGUUAAUAUCUGCUUCGAGGUUUCCACUACAGGUGCAAGAAAAAAGAUCCUUGUCUUUUCUGUUUGUAGUAGCCAAGAUUGAGUGGAGAAAUGU